RNAcentral lists this ribosomal RNA (449 nucleotides) under uncultured bacterium. RNAcentral describes it as "bacterial SSU rRNA". It matches the Rfam family "Bacterial small subunit ribosomal RNA", at positions 330 to 795 of the family's 1533-position model. The record is from RNAcentral.
CCCAGACUCCUACGGGAGGCAGCAGUGGGGGAUAUUGCACAAUGGGGGAAACCCUGAUGCAGCGACGCCGCGUGAGUGAAGAAGUAUUUCGGUAUGUAAAGCUCUAUCAGCAGGGAAGAAAAAAGACGGUACCUGACUAAGAAGCCCCGGCUAACUACGUGCCAGCAGCCGCGGUAAUACGUAGGGGGCAAGCGUUAUCCGGAUUUACUGGGUGUAAAGGGAGCGUAGGCGGCAAUACAAGUCGGAAGUGAAAUACCCGGGCUCAACCUGGGAACUGCUUUGGAAACUGUAUGGCUGGAGUGCUAGAGAGGUAAGCGGAAUUCCUAGUGUAGCGGUGAAAUGCGUAGAUAUUAGGAGGAACACCAGUGGCGAAGGCGGCUUACUGGACGGUAACUGACGUUGAGGCUCGAAAGCGUGGGGAGCAAACAGGAUUAGAUACCCGCGUAGCG